This 76-nucleotide transfer RNA is filed under the name Nitrososphaerota archaeon. Its description in RNAcentral is "tRNA-Pro". It matches the Rfam family "tRNA". Rfam says of the family: Transfer RNA (tRNA) molecules are approximately 80 nucleotides in length. Their secondary structure includes four short double-helical elements and three loops (D, anti-codon, and T loops). Lineage: Archaea; Thermoproteati; Nitrososphaerota. The record is from RNAcentral. RNAcentral also lists the same sequence under 1 other name.
GGGGUCGUCGUCCAGCUUGGUUUAGGAUACCACCCUGGGGCGGUGGCGAUCGCCGGUUCAAAUCCGGCCGACCCCA